CCCUUAGAUGUUCUGGGCCGCACGCGCGCUACACUGAUGCAUUCAACGAGCCUAUCCUUGACCGACAGGUCCGGGUAAUCUUUGAAUCUGCAUCGUGACGGGGAUAGAUUAUUGCAAUUAUUAAUCUUCAACGAGGAAUGCCUAGUAGGCGCAAGUCAUCAGCUUGCGUCGAUUACGUCCCUGCCCUUUGUACACACCGCCCGUCGCUCCUACCGAUUGGGUGUGCUGGUGAAAUGUUCGGGUCGGCCGUUUGUCGCGGUUUCCGCGUCAUGUGGCUGAGAAGUUCAUUAAACCCUCCCACCUAGAGGAAGGAGAAGUCGUAACA
RNAcentral lists this ribosomal RNA (325 nucleotides) under uncultured eukaryote. RNAcentral's name for it is "partial 18S ribosomal RNA". It matches the Rfam family "Eukaryotic small subunit ribosomal RNA", at positions 1470 to 1796 of the family's 1831-position model. The record is from RNAcentral.